UAGAGUUUGAUCCUGGCUCAGGACGAACGCUGGCGGCGUGCCUAACACAUGCAAGUCGAGCGGUCUGAUGUUCAAUUUAUUGAACAAAAGGCAGCGGCGGACGGGUGAGUAACACGUGGGUAAUCUGCCCUACGGACCGGGAUAACACACCGAAAGGGGUGCUAAUACCGGAUAAAGUCAUCAUAUGGCAUCAUAAGAUGAAGAAAGGAGAAAUCCGCCAAAGGAGGAGCCCGCGUCCCAUUAGUUAGUUGGCGGGGUAAAAGCCCACCAAGGCGACGAUGGGUAGCCGGCCUGAGAGGGUGAACGGCCACACUGGAACUGAGACACGGUCCAGACUCCUACGGGAGGCAGCAGUGGGGAAUAUUGCGCAAUGGGGGGAACCCUGACGCAGCAACGCCGCGUGAGCGAAGAAGGCCUUCGGGUUGUAAAGCUCAAUAGUAUGGGAAGAUAAUGACGGUACCAUACGAAAGCCCCGGCUAACUACGUGCCAGCCGCCGCGGUAAUUCA
RNAcentral lists this ribosomal RNA (507 nucleotides) under uncultured bacterium. RNAcentral's name for it is "bacterial SSU rRNA". It matches the Rfam family "Bacterial small subunit ribosomal RNA", at positions 1 to 527 of the family's 1533-position model. The record is from RNAcentral.